CAUUGGCGUGGGCGCAAGCCUGACCGCCUGCCGCGUGUAUGAAGAAGGCCUUCGGGUUGUAAAGUACUUUUGUCAGGGAAGAAAAGCCUGAGGAUAACACCCUCAGGUCAUGACGGUACCUGAAGAAUAAGCACCGGCUAACUACGUGCCAGCAGCCGCGGUAAUACGUAAGGUGCGAGCGUUAAUCGGAACUACUGGGCGUAAAGCGAGCGCAGACGGUUAUUUAAGCAAGAUGUGAAAGCCCCGUGCUCAACCUGGGAACUGCGUUUUGAACUGGGUAACUAGAGUGUGUCAGAGGGGGGUAGAAUUCCACGUGUAGCAGUGAAAUGCGUAGAGAUGUGGAGGAAUACCGAUGGCGAAGGCAGCCCCCUGGGAUAACACUGACGUUCAUGCUCGAAA
Molecule: ribosomal RNA, 399 nt
Filed under: uncultured bacterium
Lineage: Bacteria
Description: bacterial SSU rRNA
Rfam family: Bacterial small subunit ribosomal RNA
Source: RNAcentral